AGCUCCUAGUCCGGGCUUGGGGAGCUGCGUGCCCCUGGACUGCAAGGUCGCAUAGCAGGGGCUUUAAGAGAAGUCUUGAGACAGACAAUUUUGACAAUCUCCUUGAUGCCUAUGGAAAGCAGGCCCACCUGGAAAUGCACAUGGAGCCCCCCAAGGUCUCUAGUCGGAAUUAUUUUCUGCAUGCCUGACUCCUUCCCCUCAUUCAAGCUUCUUAUGGAUUCCUGGUGAUCUCUGUAAUGGAAAUUGCAUGUGGCAUGUCUUUCACACUCAUGGGCUUAUCAAGUUAAUCUGAAAAGGAAACAUGUCUGGAAAGGUUUGCCACCUGGAGCAAACUUUCUUGAAGAACUUUCCUCCAGGAAUGCCCAGGGAAGCAGAAGUUGUCAAAGCUUUGAACUGAAUGGCAUCUCAGUUUGUUCUGAACCAUUGGAUUUGCUCUGAUCUGAUGGAACUUUGAUUGUCGAAAGAAAAGCUCACCCAGGAAGGUCAAACUGAGCAGGACAUUUUUUUUUUUUUUCCUCCUAAAGGAUAUUCCAGUCUUUGAGUAUUUGUCUUUGACCUAAAGCAGAUGAGAACUGCUGAAAUCAUGUAGCUUCAUUAAAAUUUCCCUCACUCUGGAGUUGAAAGAUUUACUGUAAAAACUGCAUUUUGGAUUUUUCUGGAAGUUGUUUUCCAUCAGAGAAUCCUCCUCAUUGAAUAUUCACAGCUGAUUCUUGAGGUGAGAUUUAUAUGCCCUGCUUUCUUUCGUCUUUUCCCACUUUGUUUUCCCCUUGUUCUCUUUAUAUUGCCUUGUCAUUAAUGGUCUAUAAUGCUGCAGACCAUGGGCUUGCAUUCUCAUUGCAGUUUUUAUAGUUGUCAAAUAUACAAUGUGUGUUUGUUUGAGUAGACAGAUGAGACCUUUGACCAAUUAAUAAUUUCUUUAGUCCAUUAUCAUAGAAUAAUAGAAUCACCAGGUUGGAAAAGACUUCUUGGAUCAUCGAGUCCAACCAUUCCUAUCAGCCACUAAACCAUGUCCCUGAGCACCUCAUCUACCUGUCUUUUAAAAACCUCCAGUGAUGGUGACUCAACCACCCCCCUGGGCAGCCUCUGGCAGUGCCCAAUGACUCUUUCUAUGAAAAUUUUUUUUCUGAUAUCCAGUCUGAACUUCCCCUGGAGCAGCUUGAAGCCAUUCCUCCUUGUCCAGUCCCCUGUCACUUGGGAGAAGAGGCACUAGACAUUUAUCUCAAUAAGGUUCUUUGGCUUCCUCACCUAUUGCUUACUGUGCUCUGUGGCACAGCAACUUGGAGUCCAGACCUACUCAGUGGCAGCAUGUCCAUACUGGUGUCUGUAACAGAAGAUGGCAGCAGAAUUUACAGCAGUAUCUGUGCUUGUAAAGCCAAAUAUAUUUCAAUCUGCAGAAAUGAGUGAUCGGUCAAACUGCAAAAGAUAAAUGGGAAUUAAAGCUGGCCGAUAAGAAACAUUAGUUCAUCUAAGUGGUCUUAACAACUGAUUUUCCACCGGUCAUUUCUCCACCUGCUCAUCAAGGCCCAAGCAGCUGAAGCCAGCGCAUCUCUGACAAUGACUGAAUACCAAUGAAGCUAAGGUCACCUAAGCAUCAAGUGAGUGGGAGAAUAGCACCCAGCAAAAGAUGUCAGCAUUUUGGACCAGCAGUAAUCACUACAUGACAGAAACCAAAAAAUGUUUGCUACAGUUCAAUAAUGAAGGGAGGAAACAGCUGGUCUGCACAUUUGUGAGUGGGCAGCAUUUAAUAAGAAUUUUUAUGCACUUUCCGGAGAACAAGAGAAAAAAAUGAAGUAACUUGAGGUGAAUCUUGGUGAUGAAGCUACACAGCAUGGAAUUAAUUGCCUGCCAUCAUCUGAAAAUCACUUGUGUGAGGUGGCCAAAACUUCAUCAACCAGAUCUUGAAUUCAGACUGAUGCAAAUCAGAAGCUAUGGCCAGCAGACGAACACUAGAGAGGUGAAGAAAAGCAUUACAUUUUACGAUUCUUGUGAAAUUCUUCAUGCAUGAGGAUGUAAGUCAAGUCAGUGGAACAUGGACAAUUUAAUGCUUUCCAGGUGCAUUUCUUUUUAUCAGUCCUGACUUUCUAACGGAGGAGGGGGAAGGAAGUAACAAUUUUUAAUAAGGGUAGAGCUAGCUACACCAGAGUCCAGCCUCCUGUUCUAGUUGGUUUCAACUGCCUUUGGCAAUUCACUGGUACCAAAGGAAGUAUUGAUUAGGAGAUCUGCCGCAGCACUGUAUCUUCCUGUGUUAAAUACAGUGGUGAAAUCGAGAAGUAAAUUCUGAGUAUUGAAUUUCAGAAAGGGAAUUUAUUUUCAGCCGUUCCAGCAGAUUCUCUUUUUCCAAAUCAGAGAAAGUACUAUCAAAUCAUAAAUGUAAUAUCAAAGCAGCCAUGUAAUUCAAUUUUUUUCUCCAUAAUCUUUCCCAUGUUCCCACAUCACAGUCAGAAUUUGAGCUCUUUUAGCUUAGGAGAUGAUUGCAGUGUAGAGGUGUGAAGUGCAAUCACAGCUGUGCUGUCUGCACACUUGGACCUUGGCACACCACUCUCUAGCCAGCAAAGUGCUCUGGGACAGACCCAUUUUUCAUAUUUCUACCAGCACCAGUAUUCAGGGGCUGAGUGUCCUCUUUUUGGUGGUUUGAUGUUCAAACUGUAACAAUGUAAUUUCAUCUCAGAGCAGCCUAGCUCCUGCUAUCCUAAGACAAUUAAAUGUAGGGUUUUGCCUGGCUCUGGCACAGAGCUCCAUAAGCACACUUGUGCCAGGAAAGCUCCUCUAUUCUUGAAGCAGUCGGCUGGCUCUGUGAGUAACUUCCCAAUGAGGACUGGAAAGGCUGCAGUAUUUAUCUUGCUGAUUUGUAGGCAUUUCAUUUUUCAUAUGGAGGUCUUUGGUCCCAACUACAUCAUUGACAAAGCCAAGCACCCACCACAAGACUUUCUCAGAUAAGGCUCUCCUGGAUCUCUCAGGCUAAGUGCUAGAAAUUGUUGUACGUGGGAGUCAUAAAAUCUCCUAGUAUUAAAUGGAUCCCUAAAUGAAUGAAGAAACAGAAAAACCUCCUCCAAUUUCAAGAAAAUCUCUGCCUUAAUCUGGGAGGGACUGAAGGCAGAUGGGUGAUCCUUCCAGGUUACCAUACAACAGAUUGAGGAUAAAAAAAAAAGCCACUUCAACCUUUUUUUGAGAAAAAAUAAAGGCAUUUAGAGGCAUUUCUGGUGUAUUCAUAAAUCAAGCAGUGGAUGGUAUCUGCAUUGAGGGAGCUGGAGAGCAUAAGACGUCUCAGCUUCAGUGAGAACUAAGCCCAGAAUUUAAAGGACUUGCAUCCUUGGUGUUGGGCCACAUCCUGCAGCACCAAAGCAUGGCCAGGUCUUAAAGGAUCAGGUUUACCCACAGAGGUGACUUUGUGCAGCUGGGUAUACCAAUAUUCUGUUUCCGAGACUUUUUUAGAGAAUAAGUGACUCAGAUGGAGCUCUGCCAUCUGCUUGUGCCUAUGAAAUAUAGAGGCACAGGUGGACUUUUCCCUAAAGACUAAGACAAGACUGUCUCUUAAGCCAGUUUAAUUUCCCUUUCACUUCUAUAGAAAACUCUGGCUAGGUCUUUAGUCUUCCUCUGCAGGACUCAGCCACAGGAAACCACCUGACCCACAUUUUAAAGAAAACCGAAAGAAUAAUUGUUAGUCAUCCUUAUCUGUGAUUGACUUCCUGUUCUUGUAGAAGACACGAUUAGUGCUAGAUAAGGCUAAAAAAUAUUCUGAGUCUGAAAAUGGAAAAAAAGCAGUUACAAAAAUUAUGGCAGGAAAUAAACUUUUGCCUGUCAAAGUCUCCUUGUUCUGGAAUGUCAGUAGAUAAGAGAUGUUGCAGGUAAUGUGAGAAGAUCACUUAUGGCACAGUUCUUAUCUGGGCUAAACAAAUGUAACUCCUGAUAGUGUUUUCACUACAAGUCUCUUUUAUGGCAGCAGUGCAAGCAGAGGCUGCCUUUCCUAGACCUCUAGGUCCUUGAGACACACUGUUGUCUUAAGCAGAACUGAAAAGUGUAAAGUAGUCAUCACUCUUGUGAUAUCUCAGGCUGGGGAGACAUACAAAUGAGCACGUGGGUAGAAAUCUUCAGUGAGAUAUGCUUCCUGGAGAUGACUGAGGUCCAGGAGGUAGAAGAGAGUAAAAACCUUUUCUGUGCUCAACACAAUGUGAGGAAUGAGAAUAAGAAGUGAUAUCCAAAAUCAAAAGAACGUCUGGUUCUUGGUUCCCUUCACCGCAGCCCUGUUCCCCUUCCAGUAGACCACUGAUGCUGUGCUACCUCCUUUCCAAAGCUCUUACCAAGUCCAUCCAGCCUUAACUGAUGUGGCCAGACUGUCAGACACUGAGUGUAUGUGCCAGGGAGUCUUUUUCAUAGAAAGAUUUUGGGUCCUGAGCAUCUGUCUUGCUCAAAGAUUCCAUUGCCUUUAUUUUAAUCAGGUGCCUUGGAGGUAAAUUACUUCACAGGCUGCUUAAAUUUAUGAAUAAUAAUUAUUUCAUUACUGUAUAAUUAAGUACCUAUCUUAUAAUAUAUAGGCUUUUAAAUUACCUUUUUCCUUUUAAAUAUGUCACUUAGUGUUGUAUCUACAGAAUUACCCACAACACUUUUUUUUAGGAAUGAUCAAAGGCAAGCUGAAAAAUAAAGCUAGAGAAUACUGUAAUCCACCUGUUCCUAGAAUUAAACUUAUUAAUUUGCAAUACUAAUUACAUAUACAGGUGUCAACACAAGCCAGGUUGCAUUGAGUAUGCUGCUUUACGAACUGAAGUUCCGGUAGCAGCAGCUGGUAAGCCUGCCUCCUCAUCUGUACACAGCAGUCCUGCCUUCCGGCACCCCGGGUGCUCCAUGGGACUGCAGCUCCUCACACAGUGCCAGCAGCAUCUUUCUUAGCUCUGUUACUGCCCCUUAGGAACCUGCUCCAGCUGUGCCAGGAGAGAAGCAAAUCCUGCUGGUGAUGUCACCUCUGCCCUCAGGGUCUGCAGUGGCUUGGGGGGGACAGAAUUGACCCAGGGUUCAUAAAUGGCCCCCAAAAACCCCAGACAUCUUGGGGGAAAACAGUUUUCUGAUUCAAUUCAUGUGAUUUAAGCUAAAAAGGGCCUAUUCAGAGCAUGAGGGUGCUGUUCUAGUAGUUCCCAAAUUUGCUGCUGACGCAGACAUCGCUUCCUCUGGCUCUUGGAAGUAGCUGGAGCCAGGCAAGGCCAGCAAUAUACACUGUCUCUGUCUGAGCUCCCGGGAAGGCAACCACGUUGCCUCUGGGUUCCGUGGCAGAAAAUACCUUUAUGUGAAAAGAACUGCCACAGUUUCCCUAACUAUGGCAUACGGGGGAAAAAAGAUAUUAACAGUUAAGAUCUGAGAGUGGUAUUUUUCCUGUAUACAUAGCUUUAUUCUGAGUCAUUCUGGUAAAAUAAAUAGAGUAUGUCAAUAAAGUAAGCAGCUUAUCAACACACAGACAUGGCUGGAACUUGCUUUUGGGGUUUAUUUUAGAAAUGAACUCUAAAAAAGAAAAAUGGAGUCAAGUGAAGUGGGAAUAAUAGCAGGAGAUUUGGGAAAGAGGAUCUUUAUUGAGGUAUUUUGUUGUCACUUGGAUAGCCUUGCUAAUAUUGAUGUAAGACAAUAUAAUAUAAGACAGUUGUAACUUGGCUGUUACUUUAUACGACUAAAAGCAGUGCUUGGUACAAUACAAUCUGAAACAUUAAAGCAAGCCAUUAGUAAGCAUUUUAUCCAAGACUACGACAAAAAAAAAAGAAAAAGAAACAAAGUAGGAACAUGAAAUAUGUCUUCCAAGUCCUGAAACAGGUCUUGCAGGCCACAGUGCAGACAUUUCAAAUGUGUCAAGAGUAGGCUGACAAUGCUUUAAGUCAAAAGAAAAAAGAAACGGCUAUAACGAGGAUUGAGCUGUAACAUUCACCUCUUCAUCACACUGAUGUACAGCAGAAAGCUGAGGCUUAUUUACUGGCUGCUUGAACUGAAAUUGGUAACCUGUGUGUACCUUAUUGAUUCUUUGCCUCUCCCAUAGGAGUAAGAAUGCUGAAUUUCUCAAGAACACCCACUGCUCCGUACGUUACUAAACUGAAAAUUAACAGGAGCAUAAACCAGACCUCCUCCUGUGGCAUACUAUUAAACUGAUAAAUAAUAUCAAUAGUAAUCCUUGGGAAAAAGUGCUCAUAGGUAGUCCUCUGGCUGUUUUUACCAGACCAAGAUUAAUACACAGCUUAAAAGAUUCAUUAUUGAUGGUGAAUAUCUUGAUAUAGACAGUCACUUUUUUGGUGUAUUAUGGCAGACCUCAUUCAUGUAGCCAUGCACAGAACAUAUUCACUAAUCCUGAGCAACUAAUAUCCAAAUUAGUGUACAGACCUGCAACUUCAGCUGAAACACAAGACAGAAAUAAAAUCUGUUCUAGUUGAAUGUAGACACACUCAUUUUUCCCCACUUAGAAGUUGUUUUAAUAGGGAAGGUAGUGUGUGCUACAGUCCUCACCCCAGGACCUCUCUGGGAAGUGUAACGGUGACUGAGUGAGACAGUGGAGGUUGUAUGUCCCAGGGGUGACCAAACAGAAUGGAGCAACACAGCCAGCAGGUCAGAAAGCUCUUCAAAUGUUGGCUGAGAAAAGCAGAGCAAAGAAAAGAAUCAUCUAGAGCCUAACUUCCUCUGACAUCUCCCACCCAUGGGCUUGGGACCCCGGCAAAAAGGAGAUCUUUGGUCUGAGCUGGUGAUGCUGUUCUUAUGUAAACAGAGAUGCCUUGUCCUAAGAGUUAAUUCUAUAAUUGGGAUAAGAAGCAAUUUGGAUAAUCUGUUUCACGAAAGGUUUCUUUUAUUUGAUCUACUUCUUAUCCUCUUUUCCAGAAACAAUUCCUUUCUCCCUUGGGCAGGGCACAAGACCAAAAUGAGUGAUAAGGAUACACUGUUAAGUGCUUUUGCUUUCCUUGUUCUUUCCUUCUCUUCCUCUCUCUUUCUCUCUAAAAGACUUAGUUUACCAAUUUUGGAGCUAUUCAAAUAAAAUGAGGGGUAUCAGACAGCAUCCAAACGUGAUGCACAAGCAAUUGGGUGAAAAGAAUGAACUAGCUUCUACAAACACUGCUGAGCUCCUGGUUUUCUGCAGAAAUACAUAAAUGCCUAAUGAAAGAUGGCAAAGCAUGUACAGUAGCCAUGCCUUAUUACUUUGCCUAACAAAUAUAUUUUUUGCUUUUGAACCUCUGAAUACAAAGCUGUCCUUUAUGGAUCUAUGAUUUCACCAGGGGGCUCAACCACAGUGUUCAUUAACUUCUUGCUCGAGGAGAUUAAUUCAAUAUGUGUUAUCUGCAAUCUCUUGGUCUGGUUUUGUACCAGCAUAUAUCAAAGUAAGCCCAAGAGAAAUGUAACUUCCUUUUUCAAAGCCAUGGAAAGUGAAUUGAUGCAAGUUGCCUUGAAAGUUGGCUCUCAUCGUAUUGGUGCUACUAGUGUCUUGUUUAUAAAGGAGGAAAACAGCUCUCUCAAAGCCUUUCCUCCAGCUGGAGAAGAAAAUGUGAAUGGUGGAAGGGCUCAUCGGAGAAUGUUUAGAUUCCUAUAGGAGACCAGCACUCUCUUCCCCAGCCUCUGCAGCCUUCUGCUUCUGGCAGAUAAUCCUUAUGUCUCUGCCUCCCCUUGCCACCCACUGCUUUUUCUUGUCCUCUCAGGCUCUUGGUGGCAUCAGACUCGCACUGCUGCAGAUAGGGAGGAGCAGCAGGUGUUCCUGUCACAGUGACAGCCGGCAGUGCAGAAGGGCUCUGCUCCAGUAGGUGAGAUAAGGGCUCAGAAAGGCACACCCCUUCUCAUCCCCAUGAUUUCUGCCUGAACAGAACCAGUGUUGUAUCACAGAAGAGAUGUCAGCUAUGAACAUUCUUGAGAAAUGAGAAAAUAUUGUAAAUUAAUUUCUUCCUAUCUGGAAAUAUCAUUGUAGUUUUCAUUUGCUAAUAAAUAUUUUAAACUGUUGAUCUUUGGUGAAUGGAUCUAGUCAAGGAUAUCUGUGCCAUAGUAUCUGGGAUAACAAUUCCUGGGGGAACUGAACUGAGUCCGUCCCCAGGACUGGGGGGAUAUAUUACCAGCUAGGUCACUUCUUUACUAUGUUAGGAUCUGUGCAUUUGCUGUAUCACCUUUCAGAGGAGACUAAUGUGGAGCUGGGGCAGGAGGAUCAUUAGAGCUUUUAUGCUCAGGCAGCACACUGGCUAUCUCUGUUUAGACAGCAGUAUGACUCAGGCAUGGACCAAAGUGUCUGCCCUGCACCUUCCCAGGACAGUGGAGAGGAUAAGAAAAGAGAGAAGACAAGUGCCAGAGAAAGGACUUGUGCAUAACAAGAUCCUUUGUGCAGUCUAUGAUCAGGUGAGUUGUUGCCUACAACCCUUACCUGAGCCUAAAGAUUCCCAGUGUAUGUUGGAGCGGAGCAGGAGGAACUCAAACCUACGCAUUCAAUAAGAAACUGUCAGCUGCAGACAAUAAGUGGAGGAAUGCAACUGGGAAGUGGAUAAGCUCUUGCUGACCUGCAGCAGAGAGAGAGGAAGAGGAGUUGUGCUCCCUUCCCCGGCAGGAUGCUCCCACCACACAGCAGACCAGAAAUGAUAGGUGGUGGAAUAAGCCAAAUGUUGAAUAUCAGCAUCAUCUGAGGAGUUGCAAGAGAUGACCUGAGCUCUUGGAAAAGGAAUACAACACAGCCAACCUUCAGAAAAGCAGCAGCAAUGUCCCUUAAGUUAGUGGGCUUUUUGAAAUGCCAGUGUUAUUUUUCAGAGUGAAAUGGAUUAAUGAUGUUUAGAAUUAGGUCACUGACUGCCUCGGGAACUGUACCUUUGCCUUUGAUAACCUUCAUUCUGGGAAGUAAGUGUCAAUUAGGGCUUAUUUAAAGGUGUCUGACCUUUUUAACCUACACUGCUGUGUGGGAGAUGCUCUUGAUUUAUGGAGAACCUAGGGAAAUGUGCUUUGUUUAAUCAGAGAAAAAGAUUGCAAAGAAAUUAUCCCUUUGAUUUUCUAAGACUCAGGUGCCAGUGUAAGGCUGAAUCCAAAUGUGGCCAAGCUCUGCUAAGCCACUAAGAAAAUCGGUAAUUGGCAUCUCCAAUAGACGAUCCCUAGAAUCCAGUUAGGAUGUGAAACAAAAACUGCUCCUUGAGUUCUCCAGCAGUUUUAUGCAUUCAUUACACUCAUUGUUUCCAGUGUGCAUUUAAGCAUCCAUUUCUGUUACUGCUUUCAGUGGAAAUCUGUGCUUUUAGGAUAAAGUAAGCAGUUUAAAGACCUAAAUUUAGUGGAGGACAGGUAAACAUUUUGCCGAAGACUGCUACACAGCCAAGGACUGGUGAGGAAUUUUACUGCAGACAUGACUUCAGGCUGAGUAAAGAGGAAGGCUUUGAAAUGGUCUUGUUAAUCUCCAGCUUCCAUAAGUAAAUCAGCUUCCAGCAAGAAGGGGUUAUAGCAGGUGUUCUCAAGAGAGCUUCAUCAGAGGAGAGUCUACAUCUGAGCUGCUCCAGUGUAUCACAGCUUGAACUCCCAGUGAAGCCAGGUUUGAACUGGGAGCUGGGUACAUGGAUAAAUGUCGUACUCUACCAUUCCAAUUACACAUAACAACUUCUCCAGGAAGACUUGAGACACUGGGGGACAAUAAGGUCUGCAGCUGGUACCAUGAAUUGAGACCGAGGAAUUGCAUUGGACCACCAAGAGUUCAGGUCUGAUGAUCUCUGCAUUAAGACUCGCAUUAGAGCAGUACAGCUGUUGGAGGAAUCUCCUAAGAGAUUCUUUCUGCAUGCAAAUGACCACACCAGGGAUGCUCUGGUAGACAUCAUGAAACCCCCUCACUUCCUCAGUGUUUCUUGUGGCUUGCAGAAAACAAGAUGUUGGUGUGAUUCUCUCUGAUGGCCUAUGGGGCUG
Long non-coding RNA from Cuculus canorus (common cuckoo), 9858 nucleotides. RefSeq lists it as uncharacterized. NCBI's taxonomy places the organism in Eukaryota, Metazoa, Chordata, Aves, Cuculiformes, Cuculidae. The transcript has 9 exons. The record is from RefSeq and is a predicted model, not a curated record.